This is a long non-coding RNA of Xenia sp. Carnegie-2017, 920 nucleotides long. RefSeq lists it as uncharacterized. Lineage: Eukaryota; Metazoa; Cnidaria; Anthozoa; Malacalcyonacea; Xeniidae. The record is from RefSeq and is a predicted model, not a curated record. The transcript has 2 exons.
UCAACCAAACGUGUGCGUCUCUGAUUACACGGGCUCUUUUCGUGGUUAUCAUAAUUUUCAUUCCUUGUAAUAUUGUGGUCUAUAAUGACCUACUUUAUGUUGUGUCAACAAAUUCAUGCUCAACUGCAUAGAAUCGUUGUCAGAAAGCAAAGAUAUAGAGAGACAGUGUGGAUUAACGGUAGCUAUGAUAAUCAUUAGACAUUCUUCGUUCCAUUAGCAAAGCAAAAAACACGAUGAAAGACAAGAUUUUAUCGUUGCAAAAUAUCUAUUCAAUGAAGAUAAUAUUUAAACAUCUGCCCAGAAUACAAGAAAUUUCAUUUUCUUGAGUCGAAAAUAUAUUUGAAGCAAAAGAAACUUUUUUAUCAAGGAAGAUCUACUUUGUGUAUCAAAGCAAUGAAAAAUUUCCUUUUUCCGCAUUUCUAUUCCAGUUUUAGUGAAUGAAUGUUGAUGCUGUUACUCUUAUUAAAAUCCAUCUACGGAAUGCAUGAAAAUUCAUGGAGCCUUAAAGUCAAUUUUAGCUAUCACUUCUACAGAAUGUGGCAAAGUCAGUCUGUUGGAGACUCCCCAAUGUUUCUAUAUCACUCAGUCAAACUGUAAAUCUAAGAUUAAAGUUCUUCGUGACAGACUAACGUGAUUAAUGACAUGAAUAUACUGGAGAAGAUAAAUAUUAAAAAUUUUACCAUCAGUUAACUUUCUUAGAACGUUCACAACAUCACCAGGGACAAGACUAAGUUCAUCUGAUUGCUGGGCUUGAUAAUUAUGAAUGACAUUCACCUGAGGGCAAUCUGAAAAAUACAUUGAAAGUUUUAAAUCGUAGAUAAUUUAACAAAGCGUUUUGUACGAUAUACUAAGGGGAUGACUCAUGUUUUACUUGCAACAUAUGGAAGGAAAUUUCUAAUAAAAUUAUAUUACACAAAGUA